This 74-nucleotide transfer RNA is filed under the name Stegodyphus mimosarum. It matches the Rfam family "tRNA". From Rfam's summary of the family: Transfer RNA (tRNA) molecules are approximately 80 nucleotides in length. The record is from Rfam by way of RNAcentral. Lineage: Eukaryota; Metazoa; Arthropoda; Arachnida; Araneae; Eresidae.
GCCUUCGUGGUGUAGUGGUCAGCACGCCUGGUCGUGUAUUCCAGAUGUCAGUGGUUCGAAUCCCGGCGAAGUCA